This 452-nucleotide ribosomal RNA is filed under the name uncultured bacterium. RNAcentral describes it as "bacterial SSU rRNA". It matches the Rfam family "Bacterial small subunit ribosomal RNA", at positions 355 to 825 of the family's 1533-position model. The record is from RNAcentral.
UCGAGAGGCUUCGGCAAUGGACGAAAGUCUGACGGAGCGACGCCGCGUGAUGGAUGAAGUCCCUCUGGGACGUAAACAUCUUUUAUGAGGGAGAAAGUUUAUUGAUAGUACCUCACGGAUAAGGGGUUGCUAAACUCGUGCCAGCAGCAGCGGUAAUACGAGUGCCCCGAGCGUUAUCCGGAAUCAUUGGGCGUAAAGGGUGUGUAGGUGGCAUUGUUAGUCACACGUUAAACCCUGGGGCUUAACCCCAGAUCUGCGUGUGAUACGGCAAAGCUAGAGGAUGGCAGGGAUGUAUGGAACUCAUGGAGUAGGGGUGAAAUCCGUUGAUAUCAUGGGGAACACCAAAAGCGAAGGCAGUACAUUGGGCCACUCCUGACACUGAAACACGAAAGCGUAGGUAGCGAAUGGGAUUAGAUACCCACGUAGUCCCUGAGCGGGCUGGCAAGGCGCAU